GGAUUGUGGCUUAGAGGUAGAGCACUCGCCUAGCGAGGCAGAGCACUCGUACGAGGCCCUGGGUUCGAUCCUCAGCACCG
Molecule: transfer RNA, 80 nt
Filed under: Marmota monax (woodchuck)
Lineage: Eukaryota; Metazoa; Chordata; Mammalia; Rodentia; Sciuridae
Description: tRNA.Ala
Source: RNAcentral